RNAcentral lists this unclassified non-coding RNA (333 nucleotides) under Hevea brasiliensis (rubber tree). The record is from RNAcentral. Lineage: Eukaryota; Viridiplantae; Streptophyta; Magnoliopsida; Malpighiales; Euphorbiaceae.
AAUUUAGUAUGCUUGAAGCUCAGUAACUGCUACAACUGCUCCACUUUGCCUCCGCUUGGACAGUUAACAUCUCUAAAGGAACUCUCAAUCAUAGUAUUUACAAAGCUCAUGUUUGUGGGUUCUGAGUUCUAUGGAAGCUGCGGUCCUGCAAUGAAGCCAUUUAGAUCCCUAGAAAUUCUGAGGUUUGAAAGGAUGAAACAGUGGGAGGAGUGGAAAGAUGGUGAUGGAGCCUUCCCUCAACUCGAAGAGCUUUAUGUUAAAGAGUGCCCCAAACUAACAAAGGCAUUUCCCAGUCACCUUCCUUGUUUAAAAAAGCUUCAAGUUGUGGGAUGU